UGAGGAAUAUUGGUCAAUGGGCGAAAGCUUGAACCAGCAACGCCGCGUGGAUGAUGAAGGCCUUCGGGUCGUAAAAUCCUUUUCUGGGGGACGAGUAAGGACGGUACCCCAGGAAUAAGUACCGGCUGACUACGUGCCAGCAGCCGCGGUAAAACGUAGGGUGCAAGCGUUAUCCGGAUUCACUGGGUGUAAAGCGCGUGCAGGUGGUCUCGUAAGUUGGACGUGAAAUCUUCUGGCUUAACUGGGAGAGGCCGUUCAAUACUGCGGGGCUAGAGGGCAGGAGAGGGAGGUGGAAUUCCCGGUGUAGUGGUGAAAUGCGUAGAUAUCGGGAGGAACACCAGUGGCGAAGGCGGCCUCCUGGCCUGCUCCUGACGCUCAGACGCGAAAGCUAGGGGAGCGAACGGG
This 405-nucleotide ribosomal RNA is filed under the name Bacillota bacterium. RNAcentral's name for it is "Firmicutes bacterium partial 16S ribosomal RNA". It matches the Rfam family "Bacterial small subunit ribosomal RNA", at positions 355 to 776 of the family's 1533-position model. The record is from RNAcentral. Lineage: Bacteria; Bacillati; Bacillota.